Acanthaster planci (crown-of-thorns starfish) is the source of this 2932-nucleotide long non-coding RNA. The record is from RefSeq and is a predicted model, not a curated record. Lineage: Eukaryota; Metazoa; Echinodermata; Asteroidea; Valvatida; Acanthasteridae.
GAUGUUUUCUAACAUAAGUAAAGCUCCAAAAAUAUAAAUUGUAAAGGAAAUUAAUUCCUCAAUAGUCCACGCUUCUAGUCGUGCAGGUAUUUAGAUAUGUGGUCAUUUAGCUAGAGACGUAUUGAGUCUUUGUUCUCCUCUACCCCUCAAAAGUACCUAUCUUACCCCAUCGCAGUUGCAGUAUCCCGAUCUUUUCCCCUCUCAAAUCUGAUAUGACAAAGCUUGAACAGUCUAAAUUUGUAAAGAAAUCUGUUUGUAAAUAGUCCACGCUUCAAAUCAUGCUGGUAUUUAGAUGUUUGGUCAUUUAGUUUGAGAGUUAUUGAGUCUUUUCAUUGCUCUACCCUUCACUUUCAAAAUAUUUCACCUUCUCACAUUUGCAGCAUUUGCAGAACUUUUCCCCUCUAAAUUGUGACAUAACUAAGGCUCCAACAGUCUAAAUUUUCGAAGAAAUCUGUUCCUGAAUAGUUCAUGCUUCAAAUCGAGGAGGAGGAGUACUAUCACAUCUUGGCUGAGAAGAUCUACAAGAUCCAGAAGGAGCUGUGGGAGAAGCGACAGAAUAGGAAGCAGGAGGUACUGAUACUGCCGCUGGAGGCAUCCCCAUUAAUGCAGCAGCGCUGCUGCCCCAGCCUCAGCCUCCCCCUAACUGCCCAGACCAGUAUGUCCACUGGGAAAAUGUAGCUCUUUCAACCAACGUGUAUCAGAAUUAUGCUGUACAUAACGAAAUGUAUAUGGUCUUUAAGGGUUAUUUUGAUGUCAGUGUUGCUUUGGCUCAGCAAUGAAAAGUGGACUAGUAGAAUGGGGCGUCAGGUUGGCAUAGUGACACUUUUGUCACCUUCCACUUCUGUGAAUCCAGCCCAGGUUAUCAUAUGGAUUUUUCAGUCUUUACUUAACUUUGUGGGGUUUUCUCUAUAAUGUUCACGUGGAGUUUUCUCUUCCACUUCUAAAACGGAACACGGUCCUCAUAUAUUUGCAGUUGUAAUUUGAAGUUGUAGAUCAUCACAUUUCUGAAGUGGUUACUGGCAGCCCUUUGAAAAACAUGCUGGAGAUUAUAUUGAUACCAUCAAUAAAUAAAGCGGGAGUUUUUAUAAUUUUAUUGUUGUUGAAAUUACACAGGGGAAAUGGUAUUGUUUAUGGUAGCAGGGCCAGGUUUCCUUCAGUUUAUUUCUAAAUGUGGUCAUAAUACAGACUGAUCGUUUGUGGUUCACUCAAGGAAGUCUGUAUACAGGUUAACAUAAAUUUGGUGUGUGAUUUCUACUUACAGUUUUAUUUCAAUUCCAAACAUCUGUAACUUUUUAAGUUAUCACUGAAUAGUCAAGACCUUUUCUUUAUUUGUAGUUUUCUGAAGGCUUUUAUUUUACUUCAUAUUUGAACAGUGAUGUCAUCCAUAGACCAUCGUGCAAUUUUAAUGACUGCAGAUGAAUUGACUCAGAGUGUGUACAAAAUGCAGAUGUAAAACAAAAAUUGUACGAUGUAAACAACAAAUAAAAGUGUAAUGCAAAUGUGAAUUUUAUGUUUUGAAACACAUUCCAUAUCUCAGUAUGUGGAAUGAAGAUGUCAAUUGUACUCAUAGUCAGUAAAUGUAACUAACUCAAGCCUAAAAUUGUAUUUGUAAUAGGAGCUUCACUCAUUAGGUGCUUCUGGAAAAUGCCAGAAAUAUUUUUUUCCGCACACAACUGUUCUUUCUUAUUAUCUUGAUCAGGACUUGAACAAAGCUUUUGCCACAAAUAAAUUACGUUGCUAAUUUGAUAGACUAACUAACAGAUAUUUACAUGUAUGUACAUAGGGUCUGCUGCUUGACAAAGAGAAAACAAAUGAAAUGGGAAGGGGGAGGUUCAACAGCAACUCUUAAACUUGAAGGUCCCUUUUUCAUGAAUGUCUGUAUUUAAACAAGAUAUGCUCUUAUUUUUAUUUUUCUAAAUCCACUUUGGAUGUAACCAUGAUCUGGCCAUCUAUAUACACAGGUAGGCCUACAAGUUAAUGGUUUCAAACUUCAAGCAUACCUUGACUCGAUCAACUCAACUGACAUUUAAACAUGUCAGUGCUCUUUUUGUUUUGUUUUUCAAGCACACACAAAGUCUGAGUCUGUGGAGUUACACUGUGUGUUGAAUUUGAACUUGGCAGCCAUGCAUAUAUGUCCCUGUUGUAGUAUGUACCACUCCAUGGGCAUGUCCCACAUUGUUGAAAAGUAUGAGGUUGUGGUAAGAAAUGUGUGACAAAUACUCUUCAAAUGACUGGUGUAAAUCAGUAUUUGUGGUAUUUGGCUGUGUUGGUGGCCAUAUCUUACCCUUUUCAAGAGCUGAAAUUUUUGGCCAAAAAUUAGACCCACCUGCAAGUGGACAAGAGGAAAGGGGUGGAAGAUUUGAGAAGUAAAUUGCUAUUCAUGUUUAUUCGUUUCCACUUGUUUGAUUUUUUUUAAAUAAACAGACUAUUCACUAUCCGAUUUGCCAUACUUGGUCUUGAAAGUCAGCGAUUUGAGUCUUAAGAUGGCAACACCUUGCGAUAGAAGAAUAAAAUAGAAAGCUUAAGGCUUUAGUACUGAACAGGUCCAGUCUCCCUCAGGAAACUUCCAAGUGCCUUUAGUCUAUGCAUUUUGUAUUCCAAAAUGGUCCACCAAUCAAAAAUGGGCUUGUUUAUGUGUCAGGCUUAUGUAAAAUAAAUACAAGCCCUUUGCCUUUUAGACAUUUUGGAGAAAUAUGGGUUAGAAAGUACAGAUUUGAUCUUGUAUGGCCUGUUCCACUUCACCACAGGUCAAUACAUUUGAGACAAAUCUAGGGAAUUUCUGUGUACAAAUGAUUCAAAAUGAUUUUGAAUUCUAGAUGAGUACUCCAUGUACUUUUUGUAAUUCCUCUAAUCUGUAUAAUAGUCGGAGGAUUUUAAUUGACUGAAAUAAAAUAUGUAGCCUGAGACAUUAAUAAUAUGUCCAUGAUUUGAA